AUUGAAGGCUGGCGGCAGGCCUAACACAUGCAAGCGGAGCGGAUGAAGGGAGCUUGCUCCUGGAUUCAGCGGCGGACGGGUGAGUAAUGCCUAGGAUUCUGCCUGGGAGUGCGGGAUAACUUCUGGUAACGGACGCUAAUACCGCACACGUCCUGAGGGAGAAAGGGAGGGGUCUUCGGACCACACGCUAUCAGAUGAGCCUAGGUCGGAUUAGCUAGUUGGUGGGGUAAAGGCCUACCAAGGCGACGAUCCGUAACUGGUCUGAGAGGAUGAUCAGUCACACUGGAACUGAGACACGGUCCAGACUCCUACGGUAGGCAGCAGUGGGGAAUAUUGGACAAUGGGCGAAAGCCUGAUCCAGCCAUGCCGCGUGUGUGAAGAAGGUCUUCGGAUUGUAAAGCACUUUAAGUUGGGAGGAAGGGCAGUAAGUUAAUACCUUGCUGUUUUGACGUUACCAACAGAAUAAGCACCGGCUAACUUCGUG
Molecule: ribosomal RNA, 484 nt
Filed under: uncultured bacterium
Lineage: Bacteria
Description: partial 16S ribosomal RNA
Rfam family: Bacterial small subunit ribosomal RNA
Source: RNAcentral